Molecule: long non-coding RNA, 2054 nt
Organism: Mus musculus (house mouse)
Lineage: Eukaryota; Metazoa; Chordata; Mammalia; Rodentia; Muridae
Product: predicted gene, 46275
Exons: 4
Source: RefSeq, a predicted model, not a curated record
GUUGGGUUGGGUUGGGUUUUCUGCUUACGGAUCCAUCAUUGGGGGAAGCAAAAGCAGGAGCUCGAGGGCGAAUUCAGAAGAAACCGAAGCAGGGGCGGCAUGGGAGUACUAACUGCUUACUUCCCUAGGUUUGCUACCUUUUUAAUACAGCCAGGACCACCCAGCUAGGGAUAGUUCUAGCCACAUUUGAGGAGACACUCUCACAUCAAUCAGCAACCAAAAAUAUGCCCUACAGACGUGUCUGCAAUACAGCCUCUGUCCAGGAAAUCACCCUCCCGGUACCCAAAUCGACUGCUUCUGGAGAUCUUGGCAAAGUCCACAGGCCUAAAAAGUAGCGGACACACCUCAUUAAACCCUCUGGACAUCUGAAAGACAGCACAGCUUCUGCAUCAAGAUGAACUGCAGGCCCACGGAACCCAAGGCCACACAUGGGUGAGCAGGCCAGUGUCAGGCCUAGGUGAGUGGCACUGGCUCUGGAGUUCAAAGCUAUGGAACUGGCCAGACCUGGAUAGAUGGAUGGAUGGAUGCCAGUCAUGCCUGGAGACACGAGAUUCCAAAUGAUCCUGGGCAUCUUUCUUGGCUGAUAAAAAAAGGAAUAUUGAUCCUUGCUCCAAGCUGCUCUGAAGAUCACUGGAGAUUCCCCCACCACUGUCUUCCAGGGUUGCAGCCCAUGCCUGGCCCAUUACUUACUAAGAAUUUCCUUUUUUUAUGGACUGGUAUUGUAGCAUAUUAUUUUAAAUUUUGCAUGAUCAUGAAGAUAUAGCCAUAAUGGCAUGAGCAUAUAACAACAGGUCACUGUGACAACCCACACAAUGGAGUGGGAAGGGAGGCAGAAGAGAGGAAGUGCAGGAGGCCCCUCCCACCAAGCUGCCUCAGGGAGCAUCCUGCCCUCCUCACUCCUGUGUUCUGAGGGGAAAUGCUGACUGCUGUCUCCUGCCCCACUCCGCAGGAAGCAACCUGGGGAAGAAGCUUGCUCACCUCCUCUGAAGGCCAAAAGACUCCCCGGCACAAUUCCCAGUAAAUGUGUGCUUCCUGCCCACUCUCCGCCAACUUCAAACUGUCCUACAGAUUCCAGAAGAAGUCCAGAGCAUGGGAGGCAGACCUGUGGUUAUGAUGCCAGAGCUCAUCAGCCUCAAGGAAAAGAUGCUUUAGUCCCUCCUCCUCAUAACUUGCCAGUGGUGCUACAGAGCACGGCCCUCUCUGUCCUCUCCUCCGAGGCCCACCACCUCAUCCACUUACAAUGCCUUCCCCUGUGAGGCAGACAGGACAGGCUUCAUCCCAAUCACCAGGAAACCCAGGUCAAGGAGAGGGUAUUAUUUACCCCAGGUGCCCACACCCAGAAGACAAAGAGUCACAAGGCAAUGGGGUCUAAUGAAUCUCUGGUGAAACUCAGCAUUGGCCUAGGGUUCUCUAGUAACUGACUCCUCCUCCAGGAGCACUCCCUAAAGCACGAUGCCUCCUCCUGCUUAUGUUGUUCCUCAAGGCACUUCACUGUCCUGCCUUCAACCCCUCACUGCCACCCACCCCAAACUAGCGAUGUCACCAUUCCUGCUGUUGAAAAGCACCUGGAAGCUCCACAAGACUGAGUGACAGCCUCGACAGCGCAGGGCUCCUGAGCGGCAGGAGCUGGGUCCAUACUGUGUCAAAGACACCACAUCUGCCCCAGCAUGUGUCACAGUCCAGCGUGGCUGCCACAGAGAUGCAAGGGUCUCCAACCUGGUGACAGUUGAUGCCUGUGUGUCCCUUAGGAGAGUGAUGCCUGUGCCUCUCAUCACAACUCUGAAGUCCCACCCCUUUUGAUGCCUUUAGCUUCUUAUUGGGCUCCCGGCACUAAUCAAAACCUUCCAGCCUAUUCUUCCUGCUGAGAUAGACAAUUUGCUUCAGCACAGACUGGUUGUACCUGCUUCUCUGGGGUUUCUUAUAGCUCCUCAAGGCUCUGCCUUAGGCAAGAUGAGGGACUUGCUUAGAAACAGUAGCCCUAGCUGGGCAUGAUGGCGCACGCCUUUAAUCCCAGCACUCAGGAGGCAGAGGCAGGCAGAUUUCUGAGUUAGAGG